AUAUAUAAAACCUAGAUUAUUAGUAGUUAAGUUCUUGAAAAUUAAUAAAGAUGGCGGUAUUUUAGUCUAUUCAGAGGAAUCUGUCCUGUAAUUGAUAAUCCACGAUUUAUAUUACUUAAGUUUUUAGUUUAUAUAUCGCUGUAAGUUGAAUAUUUUUAUUGAAAUUUAAUAUUCAUAAUUUUUUAGGAAAGAAAAUCAAGUCAAGAUGUAGCUUAUAUUUAAGAAGAGAUGGAUUACAUUAUAUUUAAAUGUGGUUGGAAGUUUGAAAAAAUUUCCAUAAAAUGGAUUUGAAUGUAAUUUUUUAUUAAAAUAUGAAAAAUGAUUUAAGCUCUAAAAU
Molecule: ribosomal RNA, 337 nt
Filed under: Sampsonius dampfi
Lineage: Eukaryota; Metazoa; Arthropoda; Insecta; Coleoptera; Curculionidae
Description: partial 12S ribosomal RNA
Source: RNAcentral